GGGGAAUCUUCCGCAAUGGGCGAAAGCCUGACGGAGCAAUACCGCGUGAGGGAGGAAGGCUCUUGGGUUGUAAACCUCUUUUCUCAGGGAAGAAGCUCUGACGGUACCUGAGGAAUCAGCAUCGGCUAACUCCGUGCCAGCAGCCGCGGUAAUACGGAGGAUGCAAGCGUUAUCCGGAAUGAUUGGGCGUAAAGCGUCCGCAGGUGGCACUUCAAGUCUGCUGUCAAAGGCUGUGGCUUAACCACGGACAGGCAGUGGAAACUGAAGAGCUAGAGUGCGGUAGGGGUAGAGGGAAUUCCCGGUGUAGCGGUGAAAUGCGUAGAGAUCGGGAAGAACACCAGUGGCGAAAGCGCUCUACUAGGCCUGCACUGACACUCAGGGACGAAAGCUAGGGGAGCGAAUGGGAUUAGAUACCCCAGU
Molecule: ribosomal RNA, 420 nt
Filed under: uncultured Chroococcidiopsis sp.
Lineage: Bacteria; Bacillati; Cyanobacteriota; Cyanophyceae; Chroococcidiopsidales; Chroococcidiopsidaceae
Description: bacterial SSU rRNA
Rfam family: Bacterial small subunit ribosomal RNA
Source: RNAcentral